This 253-nucleotide ribosomal RNA is filed under the name uncultured bacterium. RNAcentral's name for it is "partial 16S ribosomal RNA". It matches the Rfam family "Bacterial small subunit ribosomal RNA", at positions 524 to 776 of the family's 1533-position model. The record is from RNAcentral. RNAcentral also lists the same sequence under 1 other name.
UACAGAGGGGGCAAGCGUUAUUCGGAAUUACUGGGCGUAAAGGGCGCGUAGGCGGUUCUUUAAGUCGGAUGUGCAAUCCCCGAGCUCAACUUGGGAACUGCAUCCGAAACUGGGGAGCUAGAGUGCUGGAGAGGGUGGUGGAAUUCCACGUGUAGCGGUGAAAUGCGUAGAGAUGUGGAGGAACACCAGUGGCGAAGGCGGCCACCUGGACAGUAACUGACGCUGAGGCGCGAAAGUGUGGGUAGCAAACAGG